RNAcentral lists this ribosomal RNA (465 nucleotides) under uncultured bacterium. Its description in RNAcentral is "partial 16S ribosomal RNA". It matches the Rfam family "Bacterial small subunit ribosomal RNA", at positions 28 to 507 of the family's 1533-position model. The record is from RNAcentral.
GACGAACGCUGGCGGCGUGCUUAACACAUGCAAGUCGAACGGAAAGGCCCUGCUUGCAGGGUACUCGAGUGGCGAACGGGUGAGUAACACGUGGGUGAUCUGCCCUGCACUUCGGGAUAAGCCUGGGAAACUGGGUCUAAUACCGGAUAGGUGCCAUUUUUAGUGUGAUGGUUGGAAAGUUUUUUCGGUGUAGGAUGAGCUCGCGGCCUAUCAGCUUGUUGGUGGGGUAAUGGCCUACCAAGGCGGCGACGGGUAGCCGGCCUGAGAGGGUGGACGGCCACAUUGGGACUGAGAUACGGCCCAGACUCCUACGGGAGGCAGCAGUGGGGAAUAUUGCACAAUGGGCGCAAGCCUGAUGCAGCGACGCCGCGUGGGGGAUGACGGCCUUCGGGUUGUAAACUCCUUUCGCUAGGGACGAAGCUUUUUGUGACGGUACCUAGAUAAGAAGCACCGGCUAACUACGUG